GACGAACGCUGGCGGCGUGCUUAACACAUGCAAGUCGAACGGAAAGGCCUGCUUUCCCUUGUGGAUUGCGGGUACUCGAGUGGCGAACGGGUGAGUAACACGUGAGUGAUCUGCCCCCAACUUGGGUAUAAGCCUGGGAGACUGGGUCUAAUUCCCGAUAGGACUGCAGGGUGGUGCCUGUGGUGGAAAACGAUUUUCUAGUGGUUGGGGAUGAGCUCGCGGCCUAUCAGCUUGUUGGUGGGGUAAUGGCCUACCAAGGCGGCGACGGGUAGCCGGCCUGAGAGGGUGGACGGCCACAUUGGGACUGGGAUACGGCCCAGACUCCUACGGGAGGCAGCAGUGGGGAAUAUUGCACAAUGGGCGGAAGCCUGAUGCAGCGACGCCGCGUGGGGGAUGACGGCCUUCGGGUUGUAAACUCCUUUCGACCGCGAGGAAGCCACCUGGUUGGAAGGGUGGUGACGGUAGUGGUAGAAGAAGCACCGGCUAACUACGUG
This 494-nucleotide ribosomal RNA is filed under the name uncultured bacterium. Its description in RNAcentral is "partial 16S ribosomal RNA". It matches the Rfam family "Bacterial small subunit ribosomal RNA", at positions 28 to 507 of the family's 1533-position model. The record is from RNAcentral.